RNAcentral lists this small nucleolar RNA (125 nucleotides) under Malurus cyaneus samueli. Its description in RNAcentral is "Small nucleolar RNA ACA64 (ENSMCSG00000009125.1)". It matches the Rfam family "Small nucleolar RNA ACA64". The record is from Rfam by way of RNAcentral. Lineage: Eukaryota; Metazoa; Chordata; Aves; Passeriformes; Maluridae.
GCGGUCUGAAAAUCACUCGGGGUCUGCUGUGGCCCUGGGUGAGAUAACAGCGCCCAUAGCAUCAGGAACAUUAAGCUUAUUGCCCACGGCGGUCUGUGGGUAAUGAAACCCAUGUUCCCAUAAGC